RNAcentral lists this ribosomal RNA (729 nucleotides) under uncultured bacterium. Its description in RNAcentral is "bacterial SSU rRNA". It matches the Rfam family "Bacterial small subunit ribosomal RNA", at positions 771 to 1501 of the family's 1533-position model. The record is from RNAcentral.
AACAGGAUUAGAUACCCUGGUAGUCCACGCCGUAAACGAUGUCGACUAGCCGUUGGGCUCCUUGAGAGCUUUGUGGCGCAGUUAACGCGAUAAGUCGACCGCCUGGGGAGUACGGCCGCAAGGUUAAAACUCGAAUGAAUUGACGGGGGCCCGCACAAGCGGUGGAGCAUGUGGUUUAAUUCGAUGCAACGCGAAGAACCUUACCUACCCUUGACAUCGUGCGAACUUUCCAGAGAUGGAUUGGUGCCUUCGGGAACGCACAGACAGGUGCUGCAUGGCUGUCGUCAGCUCGUGUUGUGAAAUGUUGGGUUAAGUCCCGUAACGAGCGCAACCCUUGUCCUUAUUUGCCAGCGAGUCAUGUCGGGAACUCUAAGGAGACUGCCGGUGACAAACCGGAGGAAGGUGGGGACGACGUCAAGUCAUCAUGGCCCUUACGGGUAGGGCUACACACGUGCUACAAUGGCCGGUACAAAGGGUUGCGAAGCCGCGAGGUGGAGCUAAUCCCGAAAAGCUGGUCUCAGUCCGGAUCGGAGUCUGCAACUCGACUCCGUGAAGUCGGAAUCGCUAGUAAUCGUGAAUCAGAAUGUCACGGUGAAUACGUUCCCGGGCCUUGUACACACCGCCCGUCACACCAUGGGAGCGGACUGCACCAGAAGUGGUUAGCCUAACUUCGGAGGGCGAUCACCACGGUGUGGUUCAUGACUGGGGUGAAGUCGUAACAAGGUAACC